Molecule: long non-coding RNA, 510 nt
Filed under: Carica papaya (papaya)
Lineage: Eukaryota; Viridiplantae; Streptophyta; Magnoliopsida; Brassicales; Caricaceae
Description: long non-coding RNA (CPAP_LNC002951)
Source: RNAcentral
UUUUAUUCAAUUUUUCAUAAAUCUUUAGUAUGAAUUGUAUGUUAGAAUAAAAAUACUUUUUAAACCCGUAGAUCUGUAAAAACUAAACACACAAUCUCGUACUAAAUUAAUGAGAAAUGUAAGCAAAAGCGUACUUGAAUUCAUCGUAGAAGAAUUGUUCGCAUCCAGUUGUAAAAUCUUUCGAAUCAACACGAUGCCUAAAAAUUAGUUUUUUUCUAGUGACAGAAUUUCAGAAAAAUAAAAUGGUGAUAUAGUGAUUCGGGGGUCAUAAACGCCUUUUAUAUUAACAAAUUUUUACAAUUUUUAUUUCGCUCAUCAAAAAAUGAGAAUAUUAUAAAAAUGGUAUCUGCACAUUAUAAGCUCAUACUUAAAUCUGAUGCAUUAAAGUUUAAUAAUGUUUAAUCGUAUUUGAUCAUUUUUAAAUGAGUCUAUUAAAUUGACAGUCUGAUAUUGUAACACCUAUUAAUUUUGCCAUUUAUUAUUAUUAUUUUUAAUUAAUUUUUUGAAUUU